Molecule: long non-coding RNA, 1268 nt
Organism: Felis catus (domestic cat)
Lineage: Eukaryota; Metazoa; Chordata; Mammalia; Carnivora; Felidae
Exons: 2
Source: RefSeq, a predicted model, not a curated record
GUCUCUCUGUCUCUCAAUGAUAAAUAACGUUAAAAAAUUUAAAAUAAAUAAAUAAAUAAAUAAUCAUUAAAAUAAAUAAAUAAAUUUAACUUUACAAAUGACUGAUCAAAAUCCUUUCUUUGAAGGUUAUAAGAAAGAUUAAGUUGGAUUGUGAACAUGUGUUAAAUCAUGGAGACUUUAUUUCCUUUUCACAGCACUUGGUAUUAUUGAAUAGCAUUAUUCAUUCAAAUGCUAUUUCUAGUUUCAUUUUUCUGAAAUGAAAGACAUGUUAACAUCUAGUUUUCAGUACAUAUUAGAAAAUAAUAAUAACCAAUAGGAACUUUAAUUUAAAAUUUUUUUUAAGUUUAUUUACUUCAAGAGAGACAGAGACAGCUGGAGCAGGGGAGUGGCAAAGAGAGAGGGAGAGAGAGAGAGAAUCCCAAGUAGACUCUACACUGUCAGUGCAGGGCCCUACUCUGGGCUCCAAGUCAUGAAACCACGACAUCAUGACCUGAGCAGAAACCUAAGAGUCGGACGCUUAACCAACUGAGCCACCCAGGUGCCCCAUAAAUUUUAAGUUUUAAAGAAAAAAGUUUUUAAAAAUUCUAGCAAUUACAGAUAAGACUAGUGCCUCCAUUAUUAUUUCUAUUUUUGUUACCAUGUUUAAGUAUUAUAAUUUACAUUUUGCUUCUAUGAUUAUAAAUCAUUAAAAUGAGUGUUCUAGUUAAUUUUAUUUAUAUUAGGUAUCUUUGCUCCUGUACCUUAGGUGGCCUUUGAAAGUAUGUUUGGAAAUUUCUAUAUCUGCCAAAAUAAAAACUGGUGUGUUUUUCACAGUCAUUUCAACAGAGCUUAUUUUAAAGUUUUUCUGAAUUUCAAACUUUUCCCUCAUCCUAUAACUACAAUCCAGUACAUGUGGAACCUCAGUCAGCCAGAAAAAGGAAAAACUAGUGACUGAGAAUCAAGUUAUUUUAUGUUAAGCCACCCAAAGCCAGUAAGAAGACAACUAAAAGAUUUGGAACAUUGUGAGAAGGAAAGAAGAAAUAAAUGGAGUCAGAGAGCAAAUUGGAGAGGCAAGACCAAAGUGAUACCGAUUAGGGAAGAGGAAAAAAAAUUGUAAAAAUUAAUAGAAGUGGUAAAAAUAAAAUGGAUACUGAUGAAUCUGAUGUUUAGCCAGGUUGUGUUAUGUCAGCACAAUCAAGCCUUAAAAUGGUCAGCCCUUUGAUUCUCUUCUUUGUUAAAACUUCUUAAUAUGAAAUAUACCAAUAAAGAUGGAACUAGUUUAUAGAGAA